UACGGAGGGUGCAAGCGUCAUUCGGAAUUACUGGGCGUAAAGCGCGUGUAGGCGGUCCUGCAAGUCUGAUGUGAAAGCCCCGGGCUUAACCUGGGAAGUGCAUUGGAAACUGCAGGACUUGAGUACUGGAGAGGAUGGGGGAAUUCCCGGUGUAGAGGUGAAAUUCGUAGAGAUCGGGAGGAAUAUCAGUGGCGAAGGCGCCCAUCUGGACGGUUACUGACGCUGAGACGCGAAAGCGUGGGGAGCAAACAGG
This 253-nucleotide ribosomal RNA is filed under the name uncultured bacterium. RNAcentral's name for it is "partial 16S ribosomal RNA". It matches the Rfam family "Bacterial small subunit ribosomal RNA", at positions 524 to 776 of the family's 1533-position model. The record is from RNAcentral.